Molecule: ribosomal RNA, 484 nt
Filed under: uncultured bacterium
Lineage: Bacteria
Description: partial 16S ribosomal RNA
Rfam family: Bacterial small subunit ribosomal RNA
Source: RNAcentral
AUUGAACGCUGGCGGCAGGCCUAACACAUGCAAGUCGAGCGGAUGAAGGGAGCUUGCUCCUGGAUUCAGCGGCGGACGGGUGAGUAAUGCCUAGGAAUCUGCCUGGUAGUGGGGGAUAACGUCCGGAAACGGGCGCUAAUACCGCAUACGUCCUGAGGGAGAAAGUGGGGGAUCUUCGGACCUCACGCUAUCAGAUGAGCCUAGGUCGGAUUAGCUAGUUGGUGGGGUAAAGGCCUACCAAGGCGACGAUCCGUAACUGGUCUGAGAGGAUGAUCAGUCACACUGGAACUGAGACACGGUCCAGACUCCUACGGGAGGCAGCAGUGGGGAAUAUUGGACAAUGGGCGAAAGCCUGAUCCAGCCAUGCCGCGUGUGUGAAGAAGGUCUUCGGAUUGUAAAGCACUUUAAGUUGGGAGGAAGGGCAGUAAGUUAAUACCUUGCUGUUUUGACGUUAACAAAAGAAUAAGCACCGGCUAACUUCGUG